UCUACAUACAUAUCUAAAUGAGAUGAAGCACAACAUCCCAACACUUUCCAUGCAACCAUACUCGUAUUAUGACCAACAUUUCUUCUGUAGCUUAAAAAACCCGUUCACGCAUGCGUGCACGCACACCCAAUUCGUUGCAGCACAGCACUCUCUACACUUCCCAUCACUCACUUGCUAUAAAUGAACUACAUAACUGUGCUACAUGGAGGCUGACAGUGGGUGCAGGUGUGAGUGAGUAAAAGGAACUCGUUCAUAACGCAACUGGGGAUACGAGUAUCUAGAAUAUUACUCAUAUAUAUGUAUGUAUGUACCUGUAGCUGGUACGUGCCGGUGCAUAUAUGUAUAUAAGAGUGUGGCUACUUAUGUAUGUACGUGCAAACAAAAAUUGCACAUUUUGACGCAAAAAUUUAUGAGUAAGUAUUUUUAUGAAUUUUAAUAUGCGAAAUAAAGGGUGUCACACAAUGCGCUGGAGUAGCUACAUACUUACAUAUAUUGUCCAAGCUAUCUACGGUUUGUCAACAGUUACAGCGCGCCAACGGUAGCUAGCUAACGCUUUUGAAAAACGUUUAUGGAACAAUUUUCCACCCAACUUAAUUAUUGCGAUUUAUUAAAAAAUUGUUUUUGUGCAGCUUGCAAUGGGAAAGAGUGUGGUGUGGUGAGGUGAAGUGAGGUGAAGUGAGGCUUUGCGGGAGUGACGCAGCCGCUAACUUGACUGCGACUUAAGAAUACAUACAUAUUUGUUUUAAGUACAGUGACAAAGCAGAACAUGUAGAGCGCUGAACAGGUGGAAGGAAGGUUGAACGAUUAUACGGACGGACAAACGGAUGACAGACGAGGAGGACUGGUUUUAAGUACGCAGCAGCAAGAUUUUUAAGCUGUUUACAAAUGUUUCUCGAAAUUUAUUUUGAUUUUAUAUAAAUUUAUGUGCUAUCUAAAUGUACGUAGUCAUACAUACAGUUGGUAGGUUUUAUAUUGACAUGCGCAGCUGGAGUGGGCUCAGUAAAUUCUAAACAGCUAACGUGUACGGAUCUUCCACAUUGCGCAGCCGCAACCAGCAGCAUAUCAAAAGGCAUUUUGUUGAACGCAACCACAAACGACGCCUACGUGCAUAUUUGCAUAUAAAACAGACA
This is a long non-coding RNA of Rhagoletis zephyria (snowberry fruit fly), 1130 nucleotides long. RefSeq lists it as uncharacterized. The record is from RefSeq and is a predicted model, not a curated record. NCBI's taxonomy places the organism in Eukaryota, Metazoa, Arthropoda, Insecta, Diptera, Tephritidae.